Non-coding RNA from Amycolatopsis australiensis, 71 nucleotides. Lineage: Bacteria; Bacillati; Actinomycetota; Actinomycetes; Pseudonocardiales; Pseudonocardiaceae. The record is from Rfam.
GCGGAUGUAGUUCAAUGGUAGAACAUCAGCUUCCCAAGCUGAAUACGCGGGUUCGAUUCCCGUCAUCCGCU